Helianthus annuus (common sunflower) is the source of this 955-nucleotide long non-coding RNA. RefSeq lists it as uncharacterized. The transcript has 2 exons. The record is from RefSeq and is a predicted model, not a curated record. NCBI's taxonomy places the organism in Eukaryota, Viridiplantae, Streptophyta, Magnoliopsida, Asterales, Asteraceae.
CACCAUAAUCGCUAGCCACAUCACUACAACACCCUCUUCAAUCCUGUAAACCAGUUCAAUCGCUGCCCAUCAGGACCUGCAAACUGAACCGAUCUCAAUUGAUCUCUCGCUUUCUCUUUCUCGCCAACAUCAACCUUUUCGCCGAAAAACGAAUAAGCUUUACUAGAUCUGCGAAAAUCCACCCCUACGGGCUACGUCUCGAUGCCUCACACCACAUGUGAGAUUAACAAAAAAAAAUUAAAAACAAAAAUAAAAAAUCAAAGGAGUUAGUUACAGACAAUCCUACAUGAGAAAUGAUCACACCCAUCCACGUGGCAACAAUCCAAGCAAUCAACAGCGACCAUGCAUUAAAGAAACAAACCUACCCACCAUCUAUUCGAAACAUUAAACCACUUUUUUCUUUUUCGUUUUCCUUUUCUAUCCAUCUCCCCAACGCUCAAAAAUCAAAUCACAAGAAAUAAUAAUAAAAUAAAAAUAAUAAUAAAUGCUGGAAUUAUUCUUCGCCGUCGCCUUCUCGGCGGUGCCGCUAACGCUGUACAUACCGCCGGUAAGGAGCCUCAGCCUCUUCGCCGGAUCGUUCCAGCAACUCCUCCGUCACAUCACCGUCUAUGUUCUCCACAUCUGUCCUCGCUUGCGGUUAGCAUUCUCCCGGAUCUUCACUCCGAUUCUUCGAUCUCAGUUUCGCGCCAGGUAACCUAACGAAAACACACUCCGUCAUUCUGUACCAUUCGGUCGAAGCUGAUCUUAGUGAUCUCUGAUAUUUAUUGUUUUUGUACCAUUACGUGAAUUGCUUGUACGAAUUUGUAAAUGAACAAACUAAUAAGUGAUGUGCUAAUUCAGUGUAAUUUCGUCUGCGCAAGCGUUGUGCGAUUAUGAUUGAGUUUAUAUGAGGUUUUAUAUAAAUAGUUUGUGGAUAAUUGAAAGUUUCUAUGAUUGAUAUCGUAUUUGUUGGUUA